This 468-nucleotide ribosomal RNA is filed under the name uncultured bacterium. RNAcentral describes it as "partial 16S ribosomal RNA". It matches the Rfam family "Bacterial small subunit ribosomal RNA", at positions 28 to 507 of the family's 1533-position model. The record is from RNAcentral.
GACGAACGCUGGCGGCGUGCUUAACACAUGCCAGUCGAACGGAAAGGCCCUGCUUUUGUGGGGUGCUCGAGUGGCGAACGGGUGAGUAACACGUGAGUAACCUGCCCUUGACUUUGGGAUAACUUCAGGAAACUGGGGCUAAUACCGGAUAGGAGCUCCUGCUGCAUGGUGGGGGUUGGAAAGUUUCGGCGGUUGGGGAUGGACUCGCGGCUUAUCAGCUUGUUGGUGGGGUAGUGGCUUACCAAGGCUUUGACGGGUAGCCGGCCUGAGAGGGUGACCGGCCACAUGGGGCCUGAGAUACGGCCCAGACUCGUACGGGAGGCAGCAGUGGGGAAUAUUGCACAAUGGGGGGAAGCCUGAUGCAGCAACGCCGCGGGCGGGAUGACGGCCUUCGGGUUGUAAACCGCUUUCGCCUGUGACGAAGCGUGAGUGACGGUAAUGGGUAAAGAAGCACCGGCUAACUACGUG